GAGGCGAACCGGGUGAUCGCCGGCGGUCGCCGCCAUGCUCGGCAACGAGUGGUGCGUCGGCCGCGGGAGGAAAGUCCGGGCUCCACAGGACACGGCGGUGGGUAACUCCCACCGGCCGCAAGGUCAGGGAAAGUGCAACAGAAAGCAAACCGCCGCGUCGCUACCUGCCGGUUGCGGCGCGGUAAGGGUGAAACGGUGAGGUAAGAGCUCACCAGCAGGCUGGGUGACCAGCCUGGCUAGGUAAACCCCGCCGGGAGCAAGGCCAAGCAGGAAGGAUGGCUCGGUCCGGGCCGCUACCACUUCCGGGUAGGCCGCUUGAGGCGUCGAGCAAUCGCCGUCCUAGAGGAAUGAUCACCCCGCGGCGCUAGGCGUCGACUGGGCCGCUUGUCGGCUCGUGCGACGUGCGAGCGCCGCGGACAGAACCCGGCUUACAGGUUCGCUUCGCGU
This 447-nucleotide RNase P RNA is filed under the name Pirellulales bacterium. Its description in RNAcentral is "RNase P RNA component class A". It matches the Rfam family "Bacterial RNase P class A". From Rfam's summary of the family: Ribonuclease P (RNase P) is a ubiquitous endoribonuclease, found in archaea, bacteria and eukarya as well as chloroplasts and mitochondria. Its best characterised activity is the generation of mature 5'-ends of tRNAs by cleaving the 5'-leader elements of precursor-tRNAs. Lineage: Bacteria; Pseudomonadati; Planctomycetota; Planctomycetia; Pirellulales. The record is from RNAcentral.